Molecule: RNA transcript, 1904 nt
Organism: Danio aesculapii
Lineage: Eukaryota; Metazoa; Chordata; Actinopteri; Cypriniformes; Danionidae
Gene: srsf7b
Gene name: serine and arginine rich splicing factor 7b
Exons: 5
Source: RefSeq, a predicted model, not a curated record
CCGUUUGACAGGCGGCUGCUGUUCGGUUUGUGUCAGGAUUUUGAUUUCUCGUCAAAUUUUCUCGUCAUGUCGCGGUUUGGGCGACACGGAGGAGAGACAAAGGUAUAUGUGGGUAACCUGGGCACAGGUGCUGGUAAGGGCGAGCUGGAGCGGGCCUUUGGGUAUUACGGGCCUCUGAGGUCUGUGUGGAUCGCUCGCAACCCAGCCGGAUUCGCUUUCGUGGAGUUUGAAGAUCCCAGAGAUGCAGAGGACUCAGUGCGGGGCCUCGACGGCAAGGUGAUCUGCGGCUCUCGUGUGCGUGUGGAAUUAUCCACCGGGAUGCCGCGACGCUCCCGAUAUGAUCAUCCUCCCUCCCGCAGACCCUUCGACCCCAACGACCGCUGCUAUGAGUGUGGAGAGAAAGGACACUACGCCUACGACUGCCACCGAUAUAGCCGCCGCCGCAGGACCAGGUUUCAUCGUUUGAUUCAGAGAGUCACGAUCCUUUACGAUUUCAUGAGGCAUCUAGCAAAUCCCACACGUUCGAUCGCCUGCUAUGACCGGGGCAUGAGCAGCCACACCCCUGCGCUGAGGCUCCUCCCACUGCUACUUAACUAUGCGUAGCCCCUCCCCCGACCCGAACCAGAUGAGAGCGCCAAUCCGAGUAAAUUCGGCUAGUGAUAUGAGCCUUCGCUUUUGCUAAAGAGAACAUCGAGACCUCGACAGACCACGAGCCGCCUAGAAAAACACUUCUAUCAAGUCUCAAUCAAGCGAUUUGGCUGUCCGUGCGGUCAUCGUUAGAAAUCCACCAGAUCGGCUGAUGAGGUUGGCUGAUCAUAGAUACUUCUAGAUCGUCUAGAUCUGCUAGACCUCGGUUCCAAAGAGGGUCGACCUGCAAAGUUGCAAGGUUUAUUUCAAAUACCAAUUAAUGUGUCUCUCUGUAUUUCACUGCCUGAAGGCAAAUCAGUCGUAAUGUUUAAUGCUGUAAACACUAGUUAACUACUGCUGGAUGCUGCAGACUGCUGGGCUGGCCCAUAUAACACCAUCUGAUUACGCCGUCUAUCUUUACGCUUAUUUUAGAUCUGUCAUUUGACCUUUUUAUUUAGAAGAUUCACCAUUUCAGACGGCCAUUGUUGCUUGUUGGAUUAAAAAAUGUGUAUUACUAUUGGAGUGUGAGUAUUGAAUAUAGUGAUAUGAAUUAUGAAUUGAUUAACUAGUCAGAAUGUGUUGAUAUAUCCCCCAAUGUUUGAUUUAUAGUAAAACAUAUAUAUAUUCAACAUUUAUGUAUAAGUAUAUCAAAAUUAUCACAUUUUAAAUGUUAAACAUUAUUUCCUAAGUGCUGUUUAAUGGGGAUUUAAUUUAAUAACUCAUCUCUAAUCACUGAUUUAUUUUCUCUUUGUCAUGAUGACAGUAAAUAAUAUUAGACUAGAUAUUCUUCAAGAUACUAGUAUUCAGCUUAAAGUGACAUUUAAAGGCUUCACUAGGGUAAUUAGGGUAAAGUUAGGGUAAUUAGGCAAGUCAGUGUGUAACAGUGGUUUGUAAUUAUUUGUAAUAUUUUGUCUAUAUUUACAUUUAGCUUUAAACUUCUGAUUGUUUUUAGAAUCGGAGGUUUAUUAUUAUAUCUAACCAUCCUUUGUGAGCGGUGUGUGUUGAGAGCGAUGUGACGGAGCUGCUGUUGUAUGGUCCAGCCCUGUAGUGUAGCUGUAGUGUAAUUGUGUAAAUUGAUUGUGUAGAUUAUCUGAGUCAGUGUCAUUGUGCAUCUGUAUUGAUGUGUGUGUGUGUGUGUGUGUGUGUUUCUGUCUGCUGUUGCUCUGGACUCUGGUAGGUCUCGAUCCCGCUCACACUCCAGAGGCAGGAGAUAUAGACGCUCACACAGCCGCAGCAGAGGGAGAAGGUCCAGAUCUCUCUCUCCUCGCUCUCGCUCU